RNAcentral lists this ribosomal RNA (253 nucleotides) under uncultured bacterium. RNAcentral describes it as "partial 16S ribosomal RNA". It matches the Rfam family "Bacterial small subunit ribosomal RNA", at positions 524 to 776 of the family's 1533-position model. The record is from RNAcentral.
UACGAAGGGGGCUAGCGUUGCUCGGAAUCACUGGGCGUAAAGGGCGCGUAGGCGGCCAUUCAAGUCGGAGGUGAAAGCCCAGGGCUCAACCUUGGAAUUGCCUUCGAUACUGUCUGGCUAGAGACCGGAAGAGGUAAGUGGAACUGCGAGUGUAGAGGUGAAAUUCGUAGAUAUUCGCAAGAACACCAGUGGCGAAGGCGGCUUACUGGUCCGGUUCUGACGCUGAGGCGCGAAAGCGUGGGGAGCAAACAGG